UCCUACGGGACGCAGCAGUGGGGGAUAUUGCACAAUGGGGGGAACCCUGAUGCAGCGACGCCGCGUGGGUGAAGGAGCGUUUCGGCGCGUAAAGCCCUAUCGGCAGGGAAGAAGAUGACGGUACCUGACCAAGAAGCCCCGGCUAACUACGUGCCAGCAGCCGCGGUAAUACGUAGGGGGCAAGCGUUAUCCGGAUUUACUGGGUGUAAAGGGUGCGUAGGUGGCAGGGCAAGUCAGAUGUGAAAGCCCGGGGCCCAACCCCGGUACUGCAUUUGAAACUGUCCGGCUGGAGUGCAGGAGAGGUA
Molecule: ribosomal RNA, 305 nt
Filed under: uncultured bacterium
Lineage: Bacteria
Description: bacterial SSU rRNA
Rfam family: Bacterial small subunit ribosomal RNA
Source: RNAcentral